This 7143-nucleotide long non-coding RNA is filed under the name Malus domestica (apple). RNAcentral describes it as "long non-coding RNA (MDOM_LNC009983)". Lineage: Eukaryota; Viridiplantae; Streptophyta; Magnoliopsida; Rosales; Rosaceae. The record is from RNAcentral.
AAAACCCUAGCCACCUCCUAUCCCUAUAAAUAUACUCCCAUUCUCACCAAAAAGCUAAUUCCAACACUUUGGUAAAAAUCCCAAAAUUCUCUAAACACUCUUUCUCUCUAAAUUCUAACUUUGGCAUCGGAGGUUCUUCGGCCAAAGCCCCCUCCAUUCAUCGUGGGCGCGUGAGGCUCUUGGCCUUAACCUAAGGUGUUAAUUGUUUUGUAGGUGCAAAAUCGUCCAAGAUCAAGGAGGAAGAAAUUUGCAUCCACAAAUUGGUGCUUUCAUUGAGAGUUGAAAUCCAUACUCGUAGAAGACUCUCGCACAAAAAAGGUUUUUUCUUUAUUUUCUAGUCCAUUUGAAUAUUUUUCAUACGUUCUUAUUAUUAGAAUUUUUUACUUGCAAAGGUUCUUUGAUAAAACGUAUAAGCAAAAUAUAAUGGCUAGAAAUUUAGAAAAUUCCACAAGUGAAAAUUCUAAUGUUCAAGAAAUGGGAUUGCGGAGAUCCGUGAGGCUAAAUGCGACAAUAAGGGGAGCGGCAUCAUCAUCACGAGCUUCAACCAUGGGAACCACCGUGGUGGCUACUUCGGUAGCUACCCGCGGCGAGGUCCAUGGUGCCUUCACCACGGCCACCAUGGGAACCACCGCGGUGGCUACUUCGGUAGCCACUCGUGGCGAGGUCCAUGGAGCCUUCACCACGACCCGGAGAUCCGUAAGGCAAAAUGCGACAAUAAGGGGAGCGGCAUCAUCACCACGAGCUUCCACCAUGGGAACCCACCGUGGUGGCUACCUCGGUAGCCACCCACGGCGAGGUCCAUGAUGCCUUCACCACACGGCCACCAUGGGAACCACCACGAUGGCUACUUCGGUAGCCACUCGUGGCGAGGUCCAUGGAGCCUUCACCACGGCCCGAGCCGUGCCAUCCAAGGCUCACGGUACCAAGACCACGAUCCAAGCCGUGCCAUCCAAGUUCACGUGGACCCAAGCCCAAGCCUCGCAUUCACAUGCACCGCGUAUUGAGCAGCCUACUCCCGUGAUCCAGCCUGCUCCCGUCGAGCAACCCACUCCCGUGGCCCAGCCUGCUCCUGCCAAGCAGCCCACUCCCGUGGCCCAGCCUACUCCUGCCAAGCAGCCUACUUCCGUGGCCCAGCCUGCUCCCGCCAAGCAACCUGCUCCUGCCAAGCAGCCUGCUUCCGUGGCCUAGCCUGCUCCCGCCAAGCAACCUGCUCCUGCCAAGCAGCCUGCUCUCGUGACCCAGCCUGCUCCCAACGAGCAGCCCACUCUCAAGGCCCACACUGCUCCCGUGGCUUUCCAAGCAGCCCAAGUCGGCCCAAAACUAUCUCAACCAUCUGGACCUACCAUCGAGCCGGGGGCAUUCUCACCACAUUUUUUCACGGAUUUGACAUUUCCCAACUCAAAUCUCGCGCCCGGAGUCUACCACCAUUCCACUGCUCAAGGAGGCGCAUUCAUUCCAAGCUCUUCCAAUCCAAAUGGCGAACAACACUUGUCUCGACAAGUCAUAGAGUUGACGAGCGCCCUUGCACAACAGACAACUUUGGUGAAUCAACUUUUGCAACGCAUCGGGAUCCAACAUGCCCCGGACGAGGUAUCCCGAAGUAGGACAAGGGCAGACGAACCUUUCCAGCAGCAUCCCAGCAAGCAGCCAUUCGACCAGCCACGAGUUGAACGUUCAGGCAGUGUACAUUCCCGAUUGGGCCCCCGAGAUAGCGUAUACUCCCGUUUUAGCGCGCGGAUGAGCGUGUACUCUCGACUAAGCCAACGGAUGAGCAUACAUUCACGGUUGGGGUCACACUCCGAUAGUCAACAUGAGCAACCUUCCAGACAAAGUGUUCAUUCGCGGCUAAGCCCACAAGGAGCAUCAUCCACCUCACAUCAGAGUAGGCAGCACGACGGACGGAGAGAAGCAGUCACUCAAUCCAGCUCAAGUUCAACCAGCAGCCUGCGAAGAACUCGCUCGCCUGCUAGGAAUGCACCAUAUGCACUGCAUAUGCGGCAUAAACGAGCCAAACACAUGGAAGAGCAGCCUAGACCAGCAAGUCAUGGCUGGGGGCAGCCGAGAGCUGCACUACCCCAACAAAGGCAAAUUCAGGAAGAAGUAGAGAGACUCUUGACCAAGCGAUUGCAUGAUUUCCAACGCAAUGAGGUCACCGACGAGGCACUACGAUGGAACAUGACCAACAUAAGCAGGUCACCCUUCACGGACGAGAUCGAGCAGGCAGAGCCUCCACGAGAGUUCAGCAUGCCAUAUUUCACAUCUUUCAAAGGGGAUGAAGACCCGGAGAGACACUUAAAGCGCUACCGAAGUGCAAUGAUCCUUUAUCGAAACAACGAUGAGCUCAUGUGCAAGAUAUUCGCCACCACUCUACAAGGCGAGGCGCAAGAUUAGUUCUACACCUUGCCGCCACAAUCCAUCCGGGAUUUCUACGAACUUUCUUUGGUUUUCACCAAAGAAUAUUCAUCCUAUCGCUCGAUCAAAAAGAAGUCUGAUCAUUUGUUCAACGUCAAGAAGAACCCAAAGGAGUCGCUUCGCGACUAUGUGAGGAGGUUCAAAGUAGAGAAGGCAAAAAUAGUCGGAUGCAACGACUCGAUAGCUAGAGCAGCCUUCCAAAAAGGACUUCCAGCAGACCACCCGCUAUUCGGAAAAUUGAUCAUGAAAGAAGAUCUAACUCUGGCAGACUCUUUUGCUUUGGCAGAGAAGUAUGCACUUUGGGAUGAGGCUCGCCAAUGCACAUUCAAGGACUUGAAGAAGUACCCGACAUCACCUCCCUAGAAGCAGUGGAUGACUUAUUCACAUGUUUGACGUUAUCUAAAGUAGCAAUAAGCUCUACCAUCAUGCGAGAAGAGAUGGGGGCCCGACUACCUGUAUUCCACAGUUACCUGUAUUCUACAGUUCAAAAGCUCUCCUCGAUGUUAUUAAAAAUUCAAAAGUUAACUUUGGCGAUAGUUGUUGCAAUAAGCUCUACCAUCAUGCGAGAAGAGAUGGGGGCCCGACUACCUGUAUUCCACAGUUACCUGUAUUCUACAGUUCAAAAGCUCUCCUCAAUGUUAUUAAAAAUUCAAAAGUUAACUUUGGCGAUAGUUGUUGCAACCUAGAAGCACAAAUUUUACUUUCAAACGCAUGCAAUCAUCCUAAUGACGUACUAUUCUGCCCAAUCCAGACGCGCGACGAUAAAGGCGUAGACCCUGGCGGAUGUAAAGUUUUCUGAUGAACGCAACACUGGAAAGACACACUUGAAAGCAAGUUUUAUCCUCGUCACCCUGAAAGAUUCUACAUAGGAGCAACAUGUACCGGCAGUUGAGUACCAUUUCUUGCUGCGCAUCAUACGGCCCUAGCCGACCCUUGCUCAAUGAUUCAACUCUAGAGUGGCCCAAUACCGGCAGUUGAGCAUCUCCUGUUGCGUAUGACAUGGCCCCAUCUCCACAGCUCCCUACUGCACCUUCACGCCGAGCCUAGGUGACGCAACAAAGCGGCCCAACGAUGCCUCAGAAGUAGCCGAGCACACUCUAGCUGCGCCUACUCCACCCGAUGGAGACUUCUGCCAUUUACAUGUCGACGGCGCAGAAAAACCUUCGUCACUGCCGGCAGAGAAGGCUCCAAAAAGAUGGAUCCCAUCUGGGAAGGUCCGUACAAGAUCAGCAGAGUAGGGGGCAAGAGUAAUUACACCCUCACCACCAUGAAGCGGCAAAAAUAUUGAAAAAAAAAUGGAUGGCCUACAAUCUGAAGAAGUACCAUGUGUGACCUCCCGCUACAUCAAAACCCGAAGAUUCAAUAAGCUCGACGGGCACCACCUCACAAGCUGAGGACUAUCCAGUUGUUAUGCAGUUCCUACCUUACAGCUAAAGUUCUCGUUCGUUUUACUCGUUUUUCAAUGAGGAAUUUAGAAGUAAUCACAACUUGGCUUGGUUGCAUGCUUACAACAACUAAUCACUCUUGCACUUCAAAAGAAAACUGCACCCUUCUUAGGGACUCAUCGCAGGAAUUGCGCCCCCCGAGUGACCAACCAUGCUCUCCAGUGCGAGAGGGUAAACCAAUUCUCCGACACCCAUAUGGGUCAACUCUCCAAGACGGGAGGAUAAACUUUACACUCCGAAUAUCCAGACAUGGAUGAGCCUGGCUGCCCUAGUAUAACUAGAUGCACGAUGGCUUGCGCCGGGAUUCCUAGAAGUAGCCGCAAUGGUCUUUUUCAAGGUUUAGCUAACUGAAGGAUUUUGGGUCUCUUGGCCUAAUCCGUGGGGAACCGGGCCCUAGAGACGGAGAGGGCACAUUACGCAGUAUAUCCGAUGGAUGGCUGCCCUGGAAUCCUAAAGCUGCUACCGAGUGCACUAAGGUAGCCUACGGAUUCCGGAAGACUGCCUACGGCUUGCCCUUCGAGCAGUGAAGCCGCACUAGACUUAUACAACCGCACAUUCUUGUGAAAGGUUAGACAAGCUAGCGCGCAUAUACGAAGUUUUAUCCACUGCCGACAUGCUACGUAGUCGAUAAGCUUCACCUCUGCCAAGCGCGGAACAACCUACACUAAGUCCUAAAGUGUUGUGAUACUUGCUACGCAACCUACGGAAUUGAAGAAAGUCAAAGUUAACAGCCUAGUGGUUACGCGGACUUGUCUGCUUCUGUAAGUAAGGCAUCCGGCUGCCAACCCUAUGGCUAACAACUUUGCAAAGUUCUACACCAACACCUACGGCUGCAUAGGCUACGCGAGUUUGUCUGCUUAUAAAAAAGUAGCAUGCCUGCCACUGGUCUAUCAAGUCUAAAGGUUAGGGCAUGAACAAAAAAAGUGAAGAUGAAGAAAAACGAAGGAAAACAUAUUUAUAAACAACUAGCAAAGGUUGAAGGAGUUCAAGCAAAACAAAAGCUACAAGGAAAAACAAAGAAAAUCCUAAAGGCUACCUAAAAUACUACACUACAGCAGCUUGGACAUUCCACGACUACUCGGUCGCCACACCUUCAACAGCCGUAACGCUCUUAGCAGCGGCAUCAUUCGGCGCUUCACCCCCGGCCGCCCCAGUCUGGGCACUAACUUCUCCAACUACUUCACCAAUGGAAGCCUUAAAAGUAAAAGCAAGCAAGUCUUCCGGAGAAAUAGAGAAGCUCAUCCACUCUCUUCUUAGCAUAAGUAGCGAAACGAAGCUCAGAAAUUGCAAGCUUAAGAUCUUGAAUCUGAGGCGAAUAAAUCUCAGCAGCAAAGGGAGCAGGCUUUGGCGCCACUUUAGCAGCAGAGUCCACCUUACCACUCUUCAUAAUAGCAAGUCUCUACAAAGGUGAACCGGACUUGGCUCCCAAAGAACGUCCUACAGACUUCGGCACUGGGGGCAUGAUAAAACCUUUACGCUGAGUAAUCUUAUCCACAAUUGUACUAGCCAUUCUCAACAUGGAAGACGCCACAUGCUCAGAUUUAGCAGCCUUACAUUUCUUCCCAUUGGAAAAUCAUGUCAAUCACAUACCUCUCGGUAGCAAGCGGACCCUCAUGAGCAGCAGAAGAAGUCUUCAGUUUUUUCUUAACUGGCAUCUCAUGAGCAGGCGGGGAAGAUCUCUUCUUUCCAUCUUCAUUCAUAGUAAGCUCCACGACAGCGAUCAGACGAGCCAAUGCAUCCGCCUUGAUCAUCUUUACCUCCUCUUUCUGGAGCAGCCCACAUUUCUUUCGGCAAAGAGGACUAAGCAGCCAACGACAUUCAUGGUACUCAGCAGGGGAGCUCAACCUAGCAUUCCAACAGGCAGGAGGCCUGCAUGCCCAACAUUCCAGCAGCCCAUGAGACCCGCAAUCUCCUUAUUUCUCUCAAUCACCAGCCUGGCCCGAGUCAGGUCCAAGAGCCCAAAGGACAUGAGCCAUGCGGCUCGCCUAGCACUGCGCCCCAGCGCCACAAUCCGCGACCCUAGUUGCAUAAGCUGCCUUUUGGCUCAAGCCAAGCCAAGCUGCCCAAGCAGUGGUCCCUGCCACAACAUCUCCUCGGCCCAUGCCGAGCCAACUCCUGGCCCCUGCCAGCCGAUGUGCCGCACCACCCCGACGGCUGCCCCGCAAUAGCACUAUCCAAGAAUAAGGCAAGAAAAAUUAAAUUUUUCUUACAUCGGUGCGGCACGAAGAAGACGAAGAAAGCAACGAAAGACGGUCCUUUGCACGGGCAAGAUGUAGAAGAUUGCUAGAGGAGGGGGAACAAAUAUCCUCUAAGCUAUCUCUCUCUUGUAGGGUAGAAUAAAUCGCUCUCCAAAGUUGAUUUAAUAACCCACUUAAGGUGGACUUAAAUAGGCUUUGAGAGAAAUUUAUUUCCCUUUCCUAGAAGGAUUUAAUUUCCUAUUAAAGAGAGAAUCAACAUCAAAAUAGGAAGCAGUCUUAAGUUUCCUAAAGCAAGAAGAUCUCUACACCUGCUGCCCUUUUUUGCGAGCAGCCCAACAGGUGUGGGGGCAUUUGUGGAGCCAAAAAUAUUCACUAGGCGACACAUGGACUUUUGGACAAAAGAGGACAAAAAUACCCUCGAGGCAUACCGGGUUUCCUACACGCGAGCAGUAGAGAAUCAUUUUUUCAACCAAGUCAAAAGUGCCCAAAAUAGGUAUCAACUUAAAACCUAAUUUAUUCAUAUAUUUCCCAUUUCAUUAUUUAGCUAAUCAAUUAGCUAAAUAAUAUACUUAUUCCUUUCAUAUUUCAUAAAAUCAUAAUAAAUUGACUAAUUAAGGGAUUAAUUACCUAAUCAAUCCCUUAAUUGUCAAUUUGAAACAUCCACUCAAACCUAAAAACACAAGAGGGCCGGCUAUCCCAUUGAAAAACCUAAUCCAUUACCUUUUUUCUACCUUUUCCCACCAUUUCUUCCUUUUUAUUAGCCAAUUAUACAAAAAACCACCAAAACAUUCAUUUUAUGUUUAAUAGCCAAAUAAAUUGGCUAAUUAAACCUAAAAACCCUAGCCACCUCCUAUCCCUAUAAAUAUACUCCCAUUCUCACCAAAAAGCUAAUUCCAACACUUUGGUAAAAAUCCCAAAAUUCUCUAAACACUCUUUCUCUCUAAAUUCUAACUUUGGCAUCGGAGGUUCUUCGGCCAAAGCCUCCCCCAUUCAUCGUGGGCGCGUGAGGCUCUUGGCCUUAACCUAAGGUGUUAAUUGUUUUGUAGGUGCAAAAUCGUCCAAGAUCAAGGAGGAAGAAAUUUGCAUCC